This 594-nucleotide ribosomal RNA is filed under the name Triticum aestivum (bread wheat). RNAcentral's name for it is "partial small subunit ribosomal RNA". The record is from RNAcentral. Lineage: Eukaryota; Viridiplantae; Streptophyta; Magnoliopsida; Poales; Poaceae.
AUGAACAAAAGGAGUGGGAGGAGUGGAAUCGCGGCAAUUAAGGCGGACAUGAGUAAGGCAUACGAUAGGGUUGAAUGGAGCUUUUUGGAGGCUAUGUUAAGCAAGUCGGGGUUUAGCAGGAGGUGGGUUGCGCUUGUCAUGAAAUGUGUUCGAACUGUUCGGUACCAGAUUAAGGUGAAUGGGGAUCUGACCCAACAGUUUAGCCCAUCGCGUGGUCUCCGACAGGGGGACCCCAUCUCCCCCUAUCUUUUUGUCAUCUGUGUGGAAGGAUUGUCGACGCUGUUGUUGGAUGCAGAAGAGAAGGGGGUGCUGCAUGGAGUGAAGAUAUGCCCAAGGGCACCAUGUGUAUCACAUCUACUAUUUGCGGACGACUCCAUGCUUCUAAUCAAAUCAGACCAACAGGAAGCAGCAGCACUACAUGAAUUGCAGUUAUAUGAGGCGUGCUCGGGGCAGUGUAUAAACACCAAAAAAUCUGCAAUUAUGUUCAGUCCUAACACAUGUGAUAAUGAUAGAAUCGUAGUUAAGGCUGAGUUGGGUAUACACAGUGAGGAUUGGAAUGAAAAGUACUUAGAGCUGCCAGUCCACGUGGGGUGA